AUGAAAACUGCUGAUAUUUUUCAGGGGUGGCCCAUUGAGUAAUCUUUUUAAACUGGAAGGAAAACACUGGAUUGGAUGAGCUUACAUACCUGGCAAAAUGGCUCAGGAAUGUAGUUUGCACUUAAGCUAUGAUUUUAUUUGUUCUCAUUCUGAACUCUUCUGGAUUUUGAAAGAAGCAAUAUGGAAGUGACCAGCAAAUUCAAAUUAUUUAAAUAUUUUUUUUAAAAGAGUAAUGAGGAAGAAAGACUGUGGAGAUGCCAAACCAAGUAAAUCGCAUCUUUGGAACAGUAUCCAAGGAUUACGGGAGGGCCAAGCACAUUGUCUCCCUGUGACAUUCAAUGAUGUGUGGAGAAAGGCCACCCAGUCCACAUCCUCCAUAUGAAGGAAAUUGAACCGAGCAAGACCUGAGCUGAAGUCCAUUAAGUGUCUAGUAUUAAAAUUAUAGUUGUUGAAUUAGAAGUUAACUCUAGCACAUAAGGUGGUAUAGUAUGUAGAAGGUUAAAAACAUACAGACAUGCAUGGCUCAGAGGAAUUGGGAUUAUAAAAACUAUAAAUGAUCAUGAUGCUUUUUCCAAGCUUUGAUUUUAUUUUCUGACACACUGACAAACUUUUGUAUAAUGAGUGCAGUUUUAUUUAACCAUUACAGUACCUCUUAUUUGGAAAACAUUUCCAUGGUAUCAUUGUGAAUUUUAAUGCUAAAUAGAUGUGAGAUGGUGAUGGGCCUAGUGGCAAGAAUAAGAGCUUCAAGUGCACUAGAAAUGUUCUUCUUUGGGGUGUGAGUAGAAAAGAAUAAAUUCUACCUAAGAUAAACAGACUUAGAGACAAAUUAAAAUCUAAAACCUAUAUUUAAGCAAUUUCAUUGAAAACGAUCACUGACCUUUUAGAGGCGAUUUGGGGAAACCCCAAAAGUAAAGGCCAUUUUUCUAUAUAGUUUGUAAGAGUAAAUUGCCUUAGAGUGGUCAUUGAGUUCUUUUAUUUGUACAUAUUCUUGUUGGACUCUUAUCAUUCAGGGACUGUUAACAGAGACUGAUUUUUUUUUUUGUCCUCUGUAAUUUGGAAAGUGUACCUUGUGAUUUCAUUCACAGAGCAAGGGUAAUCAAGAUGCUGCUACCAAUUACAUUAAGUGCUACCAUUACAUUACGAACUAGGCUAGAGUGAUAUGGAAACCCUACAUAAAUUGGACUACUGGGCAGACAAACUCAAGAGGACUCAGAGCUAGUCUUAACAGCUUUGUCACCAAGAAAUCAGCUCUACUAAUAGAAAUGCUAGUAGUAAUUAGGGGACUUUAGCCAUAGACUCCAGAAAGAGAACAGUCAAGAAAAGGAAGUCUUACCAAGCCAUGAAAAAGAGAAACAAUGUCAAGGGAGGAAUAUAAAUUCUUCCAGAAUAGCACCAGCAACUAGAGUGACUUCCUGGAGAAAAGAAGUAAAAUGAGGGAAUCCUCAAUAAUUCAGGGUUUACUAGGGACAUAUCAGUAGCCUUCAGCCCAUUCAUUCAUUUGAAUGGAUCUCUUAAACAAAGAGUCUUCAUCACAUAGGUUUCUAAUAUACUUUUUUUUUUAAAUCCAUUCUGUCUCCAGGUAGUCAGUAAUGACAAUAUUUUCCUCAUCUCUCCUAUUUAAAAAAAUGCUAUAUAAUAUUUACAGAGUAUUUACUACAAUAGUACUUGGUUAUCAUGAAAAAUGAUGAAGAAAAUGGUUUCUUAGGGCAGUAUAUGAAGGUUCUGCUGAGGUGAUAGGCAAGUGGUUUCUGGGAACUAAGAUUAUCUCAAUUCCACUGCAAGAAUAAAAAAAGAUCUGAUCCCUAUGGCUCAGAUUAGGUUCCAGUAGUAUAUGGAUCAAUAGUAUACUGUGUAAUUCAGAUUGAGCCAAAUAGCUCUGAUUAUUCUCCCUUAAUUAUACCAGGGAUAUUCAUGUAUAUUCUAAGAAAGGUAACUGGAUGUGAUAUGCUAGGAAGAGAGUGAAAAUAUUUCAGCGGUUUCCAAGAUGGUGGGUUUUGGCUAGUAGAGCCAAACAUAAAACAAAAUAAAAUAAAACAAACAAACAGAAAAAAACUGCAAUAAGGAUCUAGGUAGUUCUCCAGGGGAUCAGAUGCCAGAGGAUGAUUGUACUAAUGGGAACUUUCAGUUCACUUAUGUAAAUUUGUGAUAUCUUAAAGUAAAUUUCAAGUGAGUGAACUUUUCAAAUCUACCAACAUUGUUUGUAGAUAAACCCACCUUGGGAAAUCACAUUUCCAGAAAUGAAAAGCUUUGAAGAUAAGUUGGUUAUUAAUAUAGUUAAGUAGCUCUUAGAUGGUGAGAUAUAAAGAGUCUCCCUGCUCCUAAACUGGUUUAGGUCCCUGUGCCUAUGGAAGCAUCUCAAAAAGGUUUGUGUACAUAUGUGUGUGUUUUUUCCCAUGGAGACAUUUUUCUCCUGGCAUUCCUAAUGGCAUAAAGAAAAUUUAUGUCAGGCCAGAAGUUGAACCAUUUUUCCAGUAAGCUUCUUUAAAACAAUAAAUAGAAUUGAGUGAAAUUUAGUCAAAGAAUUAAAAAUGAAAGUCAAAGUUGAGUAUUUCAUCUCUUUCAAUAUAAAUGACCAAAAGGGCAAGAGGAUUCAACAUCAGUCAUUGCACAGAUAGAUUACAAAGCAUAAGAUAGAAAAUAGUCUCACUAUAUAUAUAUAUAUAUAUAUAUAUAUAUAUAUAUAUAUAUAUGUUUUUAUGGAAGGACAGUUAGGUGCAUGGGUACCUCUAUUAUUGGAGUAAAUCAAGGAAAAAGACUUCAGGGUCUUAGCUGCUAAAUGAAGCUGGAUCAUCUAUCUUCUUUUGUUAAGAGUGAACAAAUUGUUUCCCCUUAACUUCUACAGGAAAAGAUGUAAAUACGUGUUUGCUCUGGAGCUAUCUAAUUCUUCUUUCAAAACUUGAAUUAUUUAUUCCGUGGUAAUUGUUGCUUGUUAAACUAUUUUAUUCAGUCAUAAGACAUUAAGAAGAAAGUCAUGAAAGCUCAUGAGCAGCUCUGCUCUGGCACUGGAAGAGGAAAACAUUUUCUCUGAGCACUGGACAAGUAAACCAAACAAAAUAACUAACCCCAGAAUACUUGAUAAUAAAAAAAGUAGAUGCAGAGGGAGAAAUUUAGGGUUGGUUGAACACAAACAAACAAACUGCCAUCAGAAUCCUUGCUUUCUGGAUAGAUCAUGAGAGCUAUUAAAAGAGCCAAACCCACCAAUAACAACUUGUUUUAUGGAGUUUUUGUGCUAUGGUUCUUUUUUUAAGAUGGCAUACUAAAAGAUACCUUCAAACACUGAAAUAAAUGUUUUUGACUGUUUUUGUUUUUAAACCUCUCUUUAGACUUUUCUCUGUCUUUUUAUUUAAUAUCAUGUAAAUCCAGUUGAGGGAUUAGGGAAGAGAAUAUAUCACCAUCUCAAAUAAAAAUGAGCUUUAAUCACUAACCAAGAUUCAUUUACAAUAAAAAAAAAUUCUCUCAUUUGGUGUGUUGGGAUAUAGAGAUAGCACAUGUGUAUGUGGGGUAAUUUCACUCCCUCACACAUUUUGUUUCUUUUUCUUAAGACCUGUUAGUGAAAUAUGUAUGCUAUUAUUUGAGUGAAAACUAUAAUUGCACUCUUCUUCUCAAAAAAAAAAAAAGAAAAGAAAAAGAAACAAGACAAUGAAAUAUAAUAGACCACUCUUUACGUUUCAAUUGGCUUGAAUACCAGAUAGUGACUUAAUAAUUCACAGUUUGCAUUAUUGGAAGUGUUUUUUCUCCUCAGUUUUCUGAAAGGGAAAGCUCCUGACAAAAAAACUAUUUGAGUAUAUGCAUGCAUGUUGAUGUACAUCCAAUUGGAGAACAACCCAGAACCCAGGGGAGAUGUACAACGAAGAGGAUAUUGAGCCAGUUGCUCAGGCAGAAAUGACACUGGAUAGAUGUUGAUUAGCUGAAAGCAUCAUUUUAAAAAAGAGGAAUAACAAAGAAACCGAGUCCUUACUAUGACUAAUAUUGCAAUGGGACUAUCUAUUUCCGAUUAGAUAAGAAUAAAUGCAAGUAGUUCAGCCCCAGCGAUACCUCAGUAAACAUAUAUUUCUAUAGCAUCAAACCUGACGUCUGCUGUGUGUAGUCUCUCAGGUCAGAAACCCUUCUGUUUCUAUGUUAACACUGCCGGCUGUUCUAUGUCUUUUAAUUAAAAGAAAAUAUUUCAUAAAAUUACAGAAGCUACAGACAGCCUCAUUCAUUUUUAUGGAGCAGUGAUAAAAAUAGGGCAUCUUCCUCUUACAUACAUUUACACAUAUUUCCUUCCUUGUCCCUUGACAAUGGUAAUACUUUGGGUGGGAUAAAAUUUUCCCAGAGUCAUGAGCUAAUAGAAAUCCUAAACUUGUAUUUUAUAUGGAAAAGUCAGUUUUACUUCCCCAGGCUUACUCUGGAAUUCACUUUUUUCUAAAAUUAACUUGGUCAGUAAAUGAUCAACUUGUUAAAAAUCACAGAAAUUAUUUCUACUAAAGAAUCAUUUGGUCUUCAGUUUUAAAGCUCCUUUUUCACUAAAAAUAAGAACAUAUAAAUAAACAAAAAACCCCACACCAUUUCCUGAGAGCCAAAUUGAUGGAGCUGAUGUAAAUUUUUAUUCUCACAAACCCUUUCUUUAUACCCUCCUGUUACUCAAAGCAAAACAUCAACCUUUCUUCCCAUUCCUCUUGGAACCACUGCCCAUCUUCUGCUCACUUUCUCACCAAUUAUUCCAUGAUUCCUUUCUUAAUGCCAUCCUGGAGCCCUGAUGAUUGAUCCCUUAUAAGCCAUAGUGGACCCUUAAGGUCUUGUACCUCACUUUGUGAAAUACUGAUCUAAGCUGUCCCCACAAACACAAGAAUGAAUUCUGUAUUACGUAGCCAAGUGAUUUGGCCAUGGUUUAGGGAUUUUGUUAGUUGUUGGGUUUUUUAGUUGUUGUUGUUUUGUUGGCUUGUUUUUAGCAUUUCACCAAGAAUUCCAGUUACUCUGCUUAUCUAUUAUAAGUUUUCCCAAAAGGAUAGAUUCACAUAUCAUGUCUUAUGCAUAUUAAUGUUGGAUGAGAGGCUGGUCUUCAAUGAAUCUUGCAACCCUUCUGAAUACAUAUAACACAUGUACACAAGACUUUGAAUUUUAGUUUUCCCAUAAAAAAAAAGAUAAUCGGAGGUUUGAUUUUUUUAAAGCAACAAUUAAUAUUCAUUUUCCAUUCUUUUUCAAUAAUUUAUUUUUACUUCCAGGCCUCAAAUUUUAAUAGUGUUAUUUUAUAUAAAAUCUUUUAAAAUGGAGUCUAAUGGAAUAACAUUUUUUUUGAAGAAAAAGAUAAGAAGUGUACCACUUUGAAGCAUCUUCUAGUGCUUUUGUCAUCAUGCGAUAUGAUCAAAAUUCAUGCUUUGGGAUAGUAUAUCAUUUUUCCCUACCUUUAUUCUUUCAAGGGCAGUUUCUCUUUUAAUGCUCCAGUGAGCCUUAUGCCAAUAAUCAAAAGUGUUCCUUUUUUCUACAAAGUCAUUCUAAAAAGGGUAACAAAACAAGAAAACAUACUUUCAUACCUGGAAGAAACAGUCAACAUGUCUCAAACCAUUUUGUCAUAACUCUUAUUUCCAUUUCCAAUGAACAGAUAUUUCUCCCUAACCCAGAAGUCUUUUUUUUGUUUCCUAUGAUAUAAAUCCAGUUUUCAACUUUGAUUUAUAGUGUUUUCAAUGAAUAGGGUUUGCUAUACUCCCUUUUUUUCCUGAAGAGAGAUUCACUUGCCCUAGAGCUUCCUGAUCUCUCAGGAGCUUGAAGAGGGAGUGAAGAAACAAUACCCAAACCAUAGCACUCUGAAGACUGACACCUUUUGGGAUUACCACAGUACCCCACUGGGAACAUUAUUUUCUAAGUGUAGAUAUGUAAGCUGUUCUUUUAAAGUAAGGUACUAUGAAAUAUGUAGCAUAAACUGGUACUGCUGUUAAAUGGGUCGAUUAUUAAACUGAGCAGCUGUAUGUAGGCAGCUAACUUUGAAUGUGCACCCCACCAAAGGCUGGUGUCCACAUCUCCAUGCUGUAUGUACUAGUUGCCCAGUGUUUUUGCAUGUUACAGUUACAUUCUUUAAAAUAUUUUGGUAGGCUUAGAUUCCUAUCCCUUACAUUGACUCCAACAAAAGAGAAUGAUAUUAACUUGAAGGCCAGUCCAUAGCACAAACAAAAUACCCUUAGUUUUCUUCUAAAGAAUCUUCUAGAUAUCCACCCCCAUUCUCUCCUCAAAGCCUUUAUAGUGAGAUCCAUUUAAAUAGUAAAGGUGAGACAUUACCUAAAAGACCAAGGCUGGGAGUAUCUUAUCCAUAUGUAUUCAUUUUCUAAUGUUCUGAACUUGUCAACAUAAAAUAACCCUCACUCUUAUGAAGUAUCUUCAAGGAACAGAGAUGUAGCAACAGCACCUUUUUGGGUAAGAAAUCCAUAUUUCAUUUACACCCCUACAUUCAAAGUUAGCUGCCUCUUUUUUUGAAAUAAAAAACUACUACUGUAUGUUACUUUGAAAAUGUGAAUAGUAUUUUUAUAGCUUGUUAAAAGACAUGGCUAGUUGCAUUUGUAAAUAAGGAUAAUGUUGCUUUUAUUUUCUUUUGUGGACAUCUUUAAUUGGAACAUAAUUGUCUUUAGGAUUGAUUUGUAUAUAAGUAAUUGACUUGUGAUUUUUUUUUUCUUUUUGGUUGGAAGGUAUCAUUUUGACAUUCUGUGUGAUUCCGUGUUUAGCACUAUUGUGGCGUGUUCAAACUUCUGCAUUUGCUUACACAAUAGGAUAUGCCAAUUGUGUGUGGUGUAAUGUUCUUUUAACAUUUUUUUCUAUUUCAGCUAUGAAGGAUUAUGCACUUAACACGUACUAACUUUUUAAUAUUAGGUAUAUAUUUUAGUAUAAUUUCCCCCUUUUAUUUUUUUCCUCAAAAAAACAAAAACACAAAAAAAUACCCCACAGGUUUCCCUUUUCCUUCCCCCCAUUGUUGUUUGAGAAUGAGGGAGAACCAGUAUCAUUAAUUUGUGUGAUUUAGGCUCUAUUUCAGUUCUUUCUCAAGUUCCAUCUUUUGGAUCUUGGGUAAGAGCUUCACUUGUUUAAGGCAAUUGUAGAAUGUGACCUGCUUUGCCUCAUUCCACUCUGAUCAUCCAGCUGAACAAUUUGAAAACUGUUCUGCUUUUUUGUUACAUGAAUCUGUCAGAAAUAUAUUUUUAAUUUAAUAUAAAUGAAAUUCAAU
Molecule: long non-coding RNA, 7186 nt
Filed under: Sarcophilus harrisii (Tasmanian devil)
Lineage: Eukaryota; Metazoa; Chordata; Mammalia; Dasyuromorphia; Dasyuridae
Description: lncRNA (ENSSHAG00000024865.1)
Source: RNAcentral